AGCAGGGUACCGAGCAGGGCGUGAACGGCUCGCUGACGGCGAUCUCCGGCGUGCCGGCGCCGUUGCGGGCGGCGUUCGGGUACGCCGUCAUGCUGC
RNAcentral lists this transfer RNA (96 nucleotides) under Virgisporangium aurantiacum. RNAcentral describes it as "tRNA-Val". The record is from RNAcentral. Lineage: Bacteria; Bacillati; Actinomycetota; Actinomycetes; Micromonosporales; Micromonosporaceae.